RNAcentral lists this ribosomal RNA (537 nucleotides) under uncultured bacterium. Its description in RNAcentral is "bacterial SSU rRNA". It matches the Rfam family "Bacterial small subunit ribosomal RNA", at positions 335 to 866 of the family's 1533-position model. The record is from RNAcentral.
CACCUACGGGAGGCAGCAGUGGGGAAUUUUGGACAAUGGGCGCAAGCCUGAUCCAGCCAUGCCGCGUGCAGGAUGAAGGCCUUCGGGUUGUAAACUGCUUUUGUACGGAACGAAAAAGCUCUCUCUAAUACAGGGGGUGAAUGACGGUACCGUAAGAAUAAGCACCGGCUAACUACGUGCCAGCAGCCGCGGUAAUACGUAGGGUGCAAGCGUUAAUCGGAAUUACUGGGCGUAAAGCGUGCGCAGGCGGUUAUGUAAGACAGAGGUGAAAUCCCCGGGCUCAACCUGGGAACUGCCUUUGUGACUGCAUAGCUGGAGUGCGGCAGAGGGGGAUGGAAUUCCGCGUGUAGCAGUGAAAUGCGUAGAUAUGCGGAGGAACACCGAUGGCGAAGGCAAUCCCCUGGGCCUGCACUGACGCUCAUGCACGAAAGCGUGGGGAGCAAACAGGAUUAGAUACCCUGGUAGUCCACGCCCUAAACGAUGUCAACUGGUUGUUGGGUCUUCACUGACUCAGUAACGAAGCUAACGCGUGAAGUG